Molecule: transfer RNA, 72 nt
Filed under: Camelus bactrianus (Bactrian camel)
Lineage: Eukaryota; Metazoa; Chordata; Mammalia; Artiodactyla; Camelidae
Also listed under: 2 other names
Rfam family: tRNA
About the family: Transfer RNA (tRNA) molecules are approximately 80 nucleotides in length.
Source: Rfam by way of RNAcentral
GUGGGUAUAGCUCAGUAGUAGAGCACGUGCUCAGCAGACAUGAGGUCCUGGGUUCAAUCCCCAACCUCCACU